Molecule: non-coding RNA, 173 nt
Filed under: Staphylococcus aureus
Lineage: Bacteria; Bacillati; Bacillota; Bacilli; Caryophanales; Staphylococcaceae
Source: RNAcentral
UCCAUUGCGAAGUGGAAUCUGAAGGAAGUCGGACGCAAACACUCGCAUUGACGAACAGAAACAUCAUAAUAAGGCCAUAUAAAACGGAUGAGUCUGCUAAACAAGAUGAAGUCCAAUACUACCCGAAUUUUAUAUGGUAAAUGAUGCGAUGAGAUGAGUGGAAAGUGGUUGCA